This 291-nucleotide ribosomal RNA is filed under the name Triticum aestivum (bread wheat). RNAcentral's name for it is "partial small subunit ribosomal RNA". Lineage: Eukaryota; Viridiplantae; Streptophyta; Magnoliopsida; Poales; Poaceae. The record is from RNAcentral.
AUGUGGGGUGAUGAGCUCAAAGUCACUGUUCAUAGUGCUUCCUUCCACUAUAUAUUAGCUAAUGUAGUCCAUCUAGCUUCUGGGGUCCAAUUUUGCUUGAUUUGUAUGUAUGGUGACCCAUAUCAUAGGCAAACUAGUGCCAUUUGGAGUCAAAUUUCCAGUUUUGUGUAUGAUAAUCUGGGUAUGCCCAUGAUCUGUAUGGGAGAUCUCAAUGACAUCCUGUAUGAUGUGGAUGGAUGUAAUGGCACUGUGAAUUACUUCCGUAUGAAUGCUUUUCGUUCUCUUGUUUAA